Molecule: non-coding RNA, 95 nt
Organism: Mycena filopes
Lineage: Eukaryota; Fungi; Basidiomycota; Agaricomycetes; Agaricales; Mycenaceae
Source: the annotation of a GenBank genome assembly
UCGGAUAUGGUGCAAGGGAUAGCAUGGUCUCGUGAAUCCUCCCCAAGGCCGGGUUGAGAGAGAGGCAGAUCGAGGUUCGAUUCCUCGUGUUCGGA